GAUGAACGCUGGCGGCGUGCCUAAUACAUGCAAGUCGAGCGAACGGACGAGAAGCUUGCUUCUCUGAUGUUAGCGGCGGACGGGUGAGUAACACGUGGAUAACCUACCUAUAAGACUGGGAUAACUUCGGGAAACCGGAGCUAAUACCGGAUAAUAUUUUGAACCGCAUGGUUCAAAAGUGAAAGACGGUCUUGCUGUCACUUAUAGAUGGAUCCGCGCUGCAUUAGCUAGUUGGUAAGGUAACGGCUUACCAAGGCAACGAUGCAUAGCCGACCUGAGAGGGUGAUCGGCCACACUGGAACUGAGACACGGUCCAGACUCCGACGGGAGGCAGCAGUAGGGAAUCUUCCGCAAUGGGCGAAAGCCUGACGGAGCAACGCCGCGGGAGUGAUGAAGGUCUUCGGAUCGUAAAACUCUGUUAUUAGGGAAGAACAUAUGUGUAAGUAACUGUGCACAUCUUGACGGUACCUAAUCAGAAAGCCACGGCUAACUACGUG
Molecule: ribosomal RNA, 497 nt
Filed under: uncultured bacterium
Lineage: Bacteria
Description: partial 16S ribosomal RNA
Rfam family: Bacterial small subunit ribosomal RNA
Source: RNAcentral